GGGCCGGGCUAGACCGGUGCCAGCCGCCGCGGUAAUACCGGCGGCUCGAGUGGUGGCCACUUUUAUUGGGCUUAAAGCGUUCGUAGCUGGGUUGUUAAGUCUCUUGGGAAAUCUGGCAGCUUAACUGUCAGGCGUCUAAGAGAUACUGGCAAUCUAGGAACCGGGAGAGGUGAGGGGUACUUCGGGGGUAGGAGUGAAAUCCUGUAAUCCUCGAGGGACCACCUGUGGCGAAGGCGCCUCACCAGAACGGCUUCUACAGUGAGGGACGAAAGCUGGGGGAGCAAACCGGAUUAGAUACCCGGGUAGUCCCAGCCGUAAACGAUGCGCGUUAGGUGUGUCGAUGACCACGAGUCAUCGAGGUGCCGAAGGGAAACCGUGAAACGCGCCGCCUGGGAAGUACGGUCGCAAGGCUGAAACUUAAAGGAAUUGGCGGGGGAGCACCACAACAGGUGGAGCCUGCGGUUUAAUUGGACUCAACGCCUGGAAGCUCACCGGAUAGGACAGCUUAAUGUUUGCCGGGCUGAAGACUCUGCAUGACUAGCUGAGAGGAGGUGCAUGGUCGUCGUCUGUUCGUACUGUGAAGCAUUCUGUUAAUUUAGGCAAUUUGCGAGACCCACUCCCUCAUUUGUCAGCACGA
This 637-nucleotide ribosomal RNA is filed under the name uncultured Methanoculleus sp. RNAcentral's name for it is "bacterial SSU rRNA". It matches the Rfam family "Archaeal small subunit ribosomal RNA", at positions 439 to 1075 of the family's 1478-position model. The record is from RNAcentral. Lineage: Archaea; Methanobacteriati; Methanobacteriota; Methanomicrobia; Methanomicrobiales; Methanomicrobiaceae.